UGGUACGGUUCACGGUGGUAUGGUUCGUACAGUUCGUGUGGCUGGUGUGGCUUCCGCUACUUGGAAGAGAGGACCUCGGUCGAGUCGGCCGCGAACAUGAACGAAUCUGCCGUCGGCUGAUCGGGGAGUCCGGCAUGGGAGCUUCGGACGGUCUCCCGUGAACGUCCUUGUUUUCCGGAAACAGCAACACCAGGAAGCACGGACGGGGACAGUGAUGGGCGAUCACAUACCGGUACUUCUAGUCACCGCCAAUGUAGGAUCCAUCUUUGAAGAGCCCCAGACACUUCUGCCGGGAUGGAUUGGUGCAUUCCUUGCGACGGUCAAAAAGAAUCAGCCCAGCUUUUUGGCACUUCAUUGUCAAGAAGUUGGUGGCAAGAACUACGAGAAGACCAUGCCACAUGUGGCCGAUUUCAUCAGGGCACUAGUGUCGAGCGAGGAACUGACAAACUACAUGGCAGUACGGGUGUUCUUAGAUGAGGACUUCUCCUGCAUAGAAAAGUUUACGGCUUUAGGCAACUUGUACUUUGUUCACCAGUCACUCAAGAACCCCCAAAUCUGGGAUUUUCAGGAGUGUCGUUUCCUGCCUGUCACGGGGGUGGAGGUGCACUCUGGAAACAUAGAGAAAGUGUUGUCCAAAGAAAAAGUUAAAUUCCCGCAGGAAUUCUUUCCCGAGUGCAAGUGGUCCAGGAAAGGUUUUAUGAGGACAAGGUGGAGCCUGCAUGGCACUGUAUUUGAUCUAAUCAAUAUCCAUUUGUUUCACGACGAGUCAAACUUCAUAGCAAUGGAAUCUUUUCCUUCUUUGUACACGAGAAACAGACAAGGUGCACUCGACUACACUCUGAACAGGAUACAAAACGACAAGUAUGACAAAGUUCCCUUCUUUAUCUUUGGAGACUUCAAUUUUAGACUCGACACGCAAGCUGUCGUAGAGAAAAUUACUCGAAAGGCUCCUCCGGUCCAGGUGAAGAGUGGCAAGAAUGGGGACGUUACCAAAGUCUUGUUCAGGGACCCCAAAGAUGAGAACCGGGUCGUUCUCACAGUCGAACGCAAAGUGUUUUCUCUGCAAGACCAUGAGGAAGCGUUUUCCAGGAACAAUGGCAAAUGGCUGCAAGAGCAUGAUAGAGAGCCGAGCUUAUUCAAAGACCGCCUGUUUGAGUUUGACAUUGCCUUCCCACCAAGCUACCCGUUCAAGGAAGACUGUUCCGGGGCCCACAGCUACAUGCACACACGGUGCCCGGCUUGGUGCGACCGAAUCCUCCUGAGCAAGGCAGCCAGGGCACUGGUGUACACGGGCACGGACGAAUCUGGGAAGCCCCCCGUGACUUACCAAGUGAUGGGCGCUGAUGUGUGCAUGGGGGACCACAAGCCCGUGGCCCUGUACUUCCGCAUGGCCCCCUCGGCUGCAGGUACGUUCCCAGCCAAAGACAAGGCGAGCGCCGGCGGGACGCAGUCGCCGAGGUUGCUUGGCGGCUGCCCCGCGUGCCACCUCCUCUGACUGCGCAUGACCCAUUGGCUGCAUGAUCAUUACAUUUGCUUUGAGCGUGGUAGUUUGGAGUAUUUUUCUUCGUGUCUAGGUGCAUGACGCCUCUAGUCAACCGCCCAGUCAGAAUAGGUUUGAUGUGCCUCUUUGUGUUGGAGUCGGCCUAGAAUCGAUGCCGGCCUACAUUCGAAUAAAUAUGUGCAAACAAUGGAUCUGGAACAGGUGGCGGAUUGAAGCAAGGCUUGGGGUGCGGCACAAUCGAGGUAGUCACGCGCGCAUUGGCCUCAUGGAUAACAUGGACUCGUCCGAGAAGACCAGCCAGUCGUUGGCCGUCCAUGACGCAUGCCCAACUGGAAAGCUAAGUGCUUCGUUUGAAGCUGCGGGGCAUGGCCAUGGCGCCAUAGGGACUGGCGCUUUUUGUCGUGCGACUGGCUGUCGGAGAUUUCAACGGGCUUCUCGGGCAGAAAGAAAAGAGGUUCUUGGUCGUCGCUCUUGGUGGACACCCCCAGGCACAUCGUGAAUGUGACCUUCAUAUCAAAAAGCUUCAACGAUGCGGUUGACGGUCCCCAGAGGCCUAUUUACAAGAGCCCCGAUGGCCCGCUAGUGGAGCGAGAGACCUGCCGCUGAGGAAGCGGCCACCCGCUACAUUCAGGUCAAGGUGCCUGGCUCUCCCGUUCGCAUCUUCCGAGAAACAACUGUCUGAAG
This 2185-nucleotide unclassified non-coding RNA is filed under the name Ixodes scapularis (black-legged tick). Its description in RNAcentral is "inositol polyphosphate-5-phosphatase A, transcript variant X1". Lineage: Eukaryota; Metazoa; Arthropoda; Arachnida; Ixodida; Ixodidae. The record is from RNAcentral.